UACGUAGGGUGCGAGCGUUAAUCGGAAUUACUGGGCGUAAAGCGUGCGCAGGCGGUUUUGUAAGACCGAUGUGAAAUCCCCGGGCUUAACCUGGGAACUGCAUUGGUGACUGCAAGGCUUGAGUGUGUCAGAGGGAGGUGGAAUUCCGCGUGUAGCAGUGAAAUGCGUAGAUAUGCGGAGGAACACCGAUGGCGAAGGCAGCCUCCUGGGAUAACACUGACGCUCAUGCACGAAAGCGUGGGGAGCAAACAGG
This 253-nucleotide ribosomal RNA is filed under the name uncultured bacterium. RNAcentral describes it as "partial 16S ribosomal RNA". It matches the Rfam family "Bacterial small subunit ribosomal RNA", at positions 524 to 776 of the family's 1533-position model. The record is from RNAcentral.